CCCUUAGAUGUUCUGGGCCGCACGCGCGCUACACUGAUGCAUUCAACGAGUCUAAAACCUGGUCUGAUAGGGCUGGGUAAUCUUUUGAAAGUGCAUCGUGAUUGGGAUAGAUGAUUGCAAUUCUUCAUCUUCAACGAGGAAUGCCUAGUAAACGCAAGUCAUCAGCUUGCGUCGAUUACGUCCCUGCCCUUUGUACACACCGCCCGUCGCUCCUACCGAUUGGGUGUGCUGGUGAAAUGUUCGGAUCGGCCGUUUGUCGCGGUUUCCGCGUCAUGUGGCUGAGAAGUUCAUUAAACCCUCCCACCUAGAGGAAGGAGAAGUCGUAACA
This 328-nucleotide ribosomal RNA is filed under the name uncultured eukaryote. Its description in RNAcentral is "partial 18S ribosomal RNA". It matches the Rfam family "Eukaryotic small subunit ribosomal RNA", at positions 1470 to 1796 of the family's 1831-position model. The record is from RNAcentral.